This 253-nucleotide ribosomal RNA is filed under the name uncultured bacterium. RNAcentral describes it as "partial 16S ribosomal RNA". It matches the Rfam family "Bacterial small subunit ribosomal RNA", at positions 524 to 776 of the family's 1533-position model. The record is from RNAcentral.
UACGAAGGGGGCGAGCGUUGUUCGGAUUUACUGGGCGUAAAGGGCGCGCAGGCGGCUAGUUUUGUCGAGUGUGAAAGCCCCGGGCUUAACCUGGGAACUGCGCUCGAAACGGGCUGGCUAGAGAUCGGGAGAGGAGAGUGGAAUUCCCAGUGUAGAGGUGAAAUUCGUAGAUAUUGGGAAGAACACCGGUGGCGAAGGCGGCUCUCUGGACCGAUACUGACGCUGAGGCGCGAAAGCGUGAGGAGCAAACAGG